Molecule: long non-coding RNA, 1992 nt
Filed under: Helianthus annuus (common sunflower)
Lineage: Eukaryota; Viridiplantae; Streptophyta; Magnoliopsida; Asterales; Asteraceae
Description: hypothetical non coding rna
Source: RNAcentral
UACCUAACUAUUUCUCACCCUUCCUCUCUCUUUCUAGGGUUUUCAGUUUACAACCAAAGCCUCUGAUAACCAAACUUUCAGUUGACAGAUCACAAUUCAGAUCUAUCUUCUUCCUUCCAAGGAGUUGCUGGGGUCGUUUCGGUUUUUCCAUGCCAGAAGUUGCAACUACAAACAACAAGGUCUUGGAACUUCAUGGGACUACCAAGAAGCAUAAAAUGGUGCCCUGCUAUUGGGAGUGACAUUAAAGCUCUCUGACUCUAGCCAUAUUCCAGAAUCAAUGACACCGACUAUAAUGUCACUCUCAAUAGUAGGGCGACGUUUUAGCCAUGUUUAGAGAGAAUUCAAAGUUGGAGCUAUUAAAGGUUGCAAAAACCCGAUUUGCGCCUCAUUACAUUUUGUUGAAGAGGUUAACCCUUUGUAGAGAGGCCCUUUCUACAACAACUGCUCUAAAUUCGUGGAGAGAUUGGGCAAAACAAGGCGAUGAACACACUCGAACGAUCGCACAACUUGUUGUUGACACUAUUAGGGAUGAUGACUUUUGGGAUGAAGUUGAAAACAUCUUAAAAAAAAGAAAUACUGACCGGAACUCCCUUCCUGUCAUUGUGGCAUCAAUGUAUGGUACAAAGCGAAUGGUUCACUAUCUCUACUCCAAGACUCCAAGUGAGCUGCUGGACCUGGGUAACGGAUUGGACGGUGUGUCUCUGCUGAAUAAUUUGAUCACAGCAGAAUUAUGUGGUGUUGCAGGGUAGAGUUUCAGCAGAUUGUAUCUGAUGAAGGCGUUGCAUGAAAACUAUGAAGAAAGAAGAAAAAGAAUACAUUAAGUUACAUGGAUGAUGCUCUCAUAAUGCAUGUGAAUUCCUUUGAUUGUCAUUUCAUGUUUCUCGAAUUGUCGCUUCGAUUGCCUUACACCGAAUAAGAAAUCUAAAUGGGAUAAGUAAGAGAAGCUAGAAAUCAAGGCAGGCGUGGUGGACAUGGCGAUCAUGGGUUCAGGCGUGGUGGCUGUCUCGGUUACAUUUUAUUUUGUUCAUACGUCACUAAUCAUGAAUCAUUUUGUAGGCAAUCUCGCGUAAGUUUCACUUUUAAAGUGUUCGCUCAUACGACUUGAAUGCUAUCUAUCUGUUCAAAUGAAGAAGAACCUAUUAUUUUUACACAAGAAUGGUGUGAAUAUCUAACUUAUAUUUAUCUUCUUGCAUUGUUUUCAAUCUUUGGCAUGCAAUGUAUGGUUUAUAGGUGAGUGAGAUAGUUAUGUUAAAUUGUGAUGCACUGCUAUCGUCCAUUUUCUUACGUUCCAUUUUCAAUCAUCGCAGCCUUGUGAUACUUGGAUGGAUUCUUGUGACGGGAACAUUUAUAUUGGCUGGAGUGUUCUUCGUUUUGCACAAUGUGACUGCAGAUAGUUGUGUAUCAAUGAAUCAGUGAGUUGAGAACCCGACAGCUCAUACGGUUUUAGACAACAUUCUUCCAUGUGUAGACAACGCCACCGCUCAAGAAACUUCAUAGAGGACCAAGGAAGUCACCUCUCAACUUGUUAAUGUCAUCAACCAAGUCAUCACUAAUGUCACCAAUAUCAACUUUGCCCCAAAUUUCACCCCUCUCUUUUUCAAUCAAUCCAAGAUGCCCCUUCUUUGCAAUCCCUUUAAACCCGACUUCAGCGAUCGAACUUGUGACCCUACAGAAGUCUCGUUGAGCAAUGCCACACAUUAAGAGAAGCUAGAAAUGAAGGCAGGCGUGGUGGACAUGGCGAUCAUGGGUUCGGGCGUGGUGGCUGUCUCGGUCACAUUUUAUUUUGUUCAUACGUCACUAAUCAUGACUCAUUUUGUAGGCAAUCUCGCGUAAGUUCCACUUUUAAAGUGUUUGCUCAUACGACUUGAAUGCUAUCUAUCUGUCCUAUUAGCGAGCCUUAUAUUUUUACACAAGAAUGGUGUGAAUAUCUAACUUACAUUUAUAUAUAUUUUUAGCUAUACAUAAAAUUUGAUUUCUUGCAUUGGAUUUUGG